CACGUUUUUGAAAAGUUUGGGGCCUUUAAAGGUUUGGAUAUAAAUAUUUGGGACCUCUUCUGCAAUUAUUCCUAAAAUAAAAUUGGCCCACGACGCCGGUGAUAGUUGAUACUCACCCGCUGUAAAAUGAAGCUCCGACUUUAAAACCACAUUGUUGCCGCCAUUUUAGUUGAUCUCGAAUCAAUCAAGAGAAGCUGUGAGAGAAAAGCACAGAGAAACUUUCAAUACUUAAUCUUAGGGUUUGUACAAAAUUAACCGUUCACAUUUGAAUAUUUCGUUACAGUCUCUCGAAUUUUUGUCACUGUUACAAAAAGUAUGAAGCCCUACUACACAAAUUCAUAUUUCGGACCAGGUUUAUGUUUCAUACAUUACCAUUUCCGAUUCUACAAAUUUUCCGAGUUUCAAUUUCUUUUAUAUAUAAUUACAGUAAAUCGGAUUUGUAAAUUGAAUUUCUUCCGGAGAACAAUCAUUUUUUAGGUAGGUCGUUAUUUGAUUCUAAGCCUUUUUUGUAUUUUAUUGUGAAUAUCUUCGAAUUAGUUUUUCAAUUUAAAGCUAAUUUCAGGUUUUUGAUCCAUCAUUGUGCAGAGAACUAGAAAUUUGAAGUUUUUAUGAAGAAUUGUGGUUGAUGUCCGGGCAAGUCUAAUUAAAUGUUUGAUUUCAUAGAAAAAGUAAACAAUAAAGUAAAGGAGACUGGAAAUCAUUACUUUUCUCCCCCACUAUUCGUAACACAACAUAAAUAACACAUAAUUUAACUCAACUGUAUGUCUCAGCCGCUCAGCUGUAUUCAUCAUUUUUGUCAUGAUUUUAUAUGCUCACGAUUAUGUAGAGGUUUGAUGAUUAUACUCAUCUCUAGCUAAAUACUUUACAUAUGUUUGUUGGAUGCUUAAUAAUAUUGUUUGCAACGAAAACAUUUUUUAAUUUUGCUUACUUAGGUUAACCUCUUUAUCUAUGCCAAUUUUUAGGUUUUUGCAUGCUAUAUCAUAGUCCUGAAAAAUCUAAAUUUUGAUUUGAAAAGUAUCUACCUGUUAUAUAUUACCUAACGUUUGAACAGCUAUAGAUGCUAAAUCCAUCAUCUUCCCUUUCCUGUGGGUUUCUUUUAUUGUUGGACAGUGAAUUAUUAUGUACUUUCUCCGAGGUGAAUAGAUUAGCUUUAAUAUUCAAAUGCACGCAAAAAUGACAUCCUUCGAUUAAUAACCCCAAUGUUUGUUUAUUGGAAGACUGAGAAUUGCUUAUAAGGAUCUGCUUUGGCAGCCAACUCCCGCUGUUUAAAUUUUUAAUAGGAGCGCAGGUCAUGUUUUUACCAAGUUAUUUUUUUUAAUUCUCUCAAAUAUUGUAUCUGGGAAAGACAUUAUGCACAUUCGGCAACCUUAUAAAAUGACAAGUUGUAAUCUGUCUGAAUUCAAAUUGGUGAAGUGCCGUUGGUCAGUAGGACGUCUUUGACAUCACGUAAGAACAUUUUAGUUGUCAACAUCCAGUUUGCUGACUGUCUUUCUCCCAAG
RNAcentral lists this long non-coding RNA (1499 nucleotides) under Olea europaea subsp. europaea. Lineage: Eukaryota; Viridiplantae; Streptophyta; Magnoliopsida; Lamiales; Oleaceae. The record is from RNAcentral.